AAAUGUUCUGCUGGCUUUGCGUGGCGGAUUCGUUAGAUUUUUUUGUUGGGGAAUUUUUGUUUGGCACUGUAGAUGUUGAUGUGUUCGUCUGUGAGCGAGUUGAGUGUUGUUGCCAUCAUCACUGCUGCUUCCCUGUGCUUCAGUCCGCCUCUUCCAUUCCCAACAGAGCAAUGGUGUCGUGUUUGUUUGUUGUUAUUUUUAUAUACAUAUUUUUUUACAUUAUUAUUUUUAUUAUUGUUGUUGUUGUUGUCGUUUUUGUGAAUAUAAAUGCGGUCGCUACUUAAAUGUGUAUAUCUUUCUCUGUUGGCUGUUACUAUUGUUGCUUUUGCUGAGUUGGCUGUUGUUGUGGUUGUUGUUCCUGCCACUGCUGUUGUUGAUGAUGUUGUAUAGAUUUUCAGGGCAUUUACUAUUACCCCCACCUAGCCACACUGCUGUUCAAAACAAUAGUCACAGCAUUCCCAGACUCGCAUCCGAUGUGGAUGGGCGAGCGGUAGCCGCUCUAAUGCGGCGAUGACAAUAGGCCAACAGUGCUAGUUUUGCGCCACACGUUUCCCAACGCCAAAAGAGUAUUAACCUAUCCUCGGUAGCCCAUUGAAUUGAAGCUCGUAAAGCGAAGUUGCCAAAAAUUCUUUUCACAAAGCUCCAUCUUUUGUCUGUGCGCUUGGAUUUGAAUGUGAUGACAAAGAAAUGACCGAAUGGCUGCUGUUCGAUGAGGAAUGUAAAGUGAUGUCUAGAAGAUGAUCAUGGCGUUGCAAACGUGGCUGAAGGUUAUGGCACAUUUUAGAUAGAGAACCUGCAAAUUUCUACAGGGACUUUUCCUGCCAGCAGAAAUUUGGAACUUUGAGCAGAUGUUUUGUAGAGGUCAGCCGUUUUAUGAAAAGCAGACGUUACAUGAAAAUACAACGCCAACGCCAAAAUGGAUCAGAAAGGCAGUCAGAGAGAUUAAUGGCAGCAGCUAGUGUUCAGGUACAGAAAACUCGACAAAUGAAGUUGUAAUUUUGACUCAAGUCGGUUGUUUUACAUUAGAAGACACCAAGAAAAGAGCAAAUUAGUGUAAAUUAGUCUGGCAAUUGUGAACGGAUACAGAUAUCUUCAAUGACAACAAAUUGUCCGUAGCCGCCACAUGACCAAAUAGGAAACUUCGCUCGCCUUACAUCAGUGAUCGUAGCAAUUUAUCUAGCCACAUUAUCCAAAAGCAUUAGAUGGUUAGUCCAAGGUAACUUUGUCAGCACAAGUGUACUUUGGACGAAUGGAAAUAGUCCAACGGGAGGUUCGAAAGGAGUAGCCCCUCAUGCAUCUCGGCUAAUGAUGAAAGAAGACAGAUCGGUCUGUGCGAGUUCCCCUUGCUCGUGUCCUUUCCAAGUUUCGGUAGCGGGAUCACACUGCCCAUCUUCCAAACAUCGGGUACUCUAAUAGUUUUCAGAUAGGCUGAGGACAGUUGUAAGGUAAUCGAAUCCAGGUAGAUCCAGAUUCUUCAGCAUCAGUGUACAGAUUCUGUCUGGAACCAGCGCUUUGCACGACUUGGCGCCACGGAUGACAUUCGUAGCUUCGUGCACGGUUGUUGUUGUAGCAGUGUGUUGUAUACUAAAAGACUCCAUCGGGCCAAUGCGGUACGUACAACCGGCUGCCAUGGGAUUGCGCCGUAAUUGUGAUGUCCGUCCAGCGGCGAAUAUACGAAUGGGUCCCCUUCUAGCCUUUUCACUCUCGGGUCAAUAAAUUUAUCUAAGUAAAAAACACACAACAAGUAUCGGCAGCAUUUUUUUUAAAUUGUUUUCCAAGUAAGCAAAUAAAAAAACCAACCAAAA
Stomoxys calcitrans (stable fly) is the source of this 1805-nucleotide long non-coding RNA. RefSeq lists it as uncharacterized. Lineage: Eukaryota; Metazoa; Arthropoda; Insecta; Diptera; Muscidae. The transcript has 4 exons. The record is from RefSeq and is a predicted model, not a curated record.